This 1569-nucleotide ribosomal RNA is filed under the name Campylobacter jejuni. RNAcentral describes it as "partial 23S ribosomal RNA". It matches the Rfam family "Bacterial large subunit ribosomal RNA", at positions 1 to 1447 of the family's 2925-position model. Lineage: Bacteria; Pseudomonadati; Campylobacterota; Epsilonproteobacteria; Campylobacterales; Campylobacteraceae. The record is from RNAcentral.
AGGUAAGCUACUAAGAGCGAAUGGUGGAUGCCUUGACUGGUAAAGGCGAUGAAGGACGUACUAGACUGCGAUAAGCUACGGGGAGCUGUCAAGAAGCUUUGAUCCGUAGAUUUCCGAAUGGGGCAACCCAAUGUAUAGAGAUAUACAUUACCUAUAUAGGAGCGAACGAGGGGAAUUGAAACAUCUUAGUACCCUCAGGAAAAGAAAUCAAUAGAGAUUGCGUCAGUAGCGGCGAGCGAAAGCGCAAGAGGGCAAACCCAGUGCUUGCACUGGGGGUUGUAGGACUGCAAUGUGCAAGAGCUGAGUUUAGCAGAACAUUCUGGAAAGUAUAGCCAUAGAGGGUGAUAGUCCCGUAUGCGAAAAACAAAGCUUAGCUAGCAGUAUCCUGAGUAGGGCGGGACACGAGGAAUCCUGUCUGAAUCCGGGUCGACCACGAUCCAACCCUAAAUACUAAUACCAGAUCGAUAGUGCACAAGUACCGUGAGGGAAAGGUGAAAAGAACUGAGGUGAUCAGAGUGAAAUAGAACCUGAAACCAUUUGCUUACAAUCAUUCAGAGCACUAUGUAGCAAUACAGUGUGAUGGACUGCCUUUUGCAUAAUGAGCCUGCGAGUUGUGGUGUCUGGCAAGGUUAAGCAAACGCGAAGCCGUAGCGAAAGCGAGUCUGAAUAGGGCGCUUAGUCAGAUGCUGCAGACCCGAAACGAAGUGAUCUAUCCAUGAGCAAGUUGAAGCUAGUGUAAGAACUAGUGGAGGACUGAACCCAUAGGCGUUGAAAAGCCCCGGGAUGACUUGUGGAUAGGGGUGAAAGGCCAAUCAAACUUCGUGAUAGCUGGUUCUCUCCGAAAUAUAUUUAGGUAUAGCGUUGUGUCGUAAUAUAAGGGGGUAGAGCACUGAAUGGGCUAGGGCAUACACCAAUGUACCAAACCCUAUCAAACUCCGAAUACCUUAUAUGUAAUCACAGCAGUCAGGCGGCGAGUGAUAAAAUCCGUCGUCGAGAGGGAAACAACCCAGACUACCAGCUAAGGUCCCUAAAUCUUACUUAAGUGGAAAACGAUGUGAAGUUACUUAAACAACCAGGAGGUUGGCUUAGAAGCAGCCAUCCUUUAAAGAAAGCGUAAUAGCUCACUGGUCUAGUGAUUUUGCGCGGAAAAUAUAACGGGGCUAAAGUAAGUACCGAAGCUGUAGACUUGCACACAACUUAGAUUAUUUAAGUUUAGAAUAUGAGAAACUAAGUUAUGUUUAGUUAUAUUUUUACUGAUUUUUAUAGAGUAAAGAUAGAAAUAAAACUUAGUAAAAUCAGUAAAAAUAUUCUUAGGCUAAAGUUAAGUAGUUUAAGUUGUGUGCAAGUGGUAGGAGAGCGUUCUAUUUGCGUCGAAGGUAUACCGGUAAGGAGUGCUGGAGCGAAUAGAAGUGAGCAUGCAGGCAUGAGUAGCGAUAAUUAAUGUGAGAAUCAUUAACGCCGUAAACCCAAGGUUUCCUACGCGAUGCUCGUCAUCGUAGGGUUAGUCGGGUCCUAAGUCGAGUCCGAAAGGGGUAGACGAUGGCAAAUUGGUUAAUAUUCCAAUACCAA